Molecule: ribosomal RNA, 1156 nt
Filed under: Shigella flexneri
Lineage: Bacteria; Pseudomonadati; Pseudomonadota; Gammaproteobacteria; Enterobacterales; Enterobacteriaceae
Description: bacterial SSU rRNA
Rfam family: Bacterial small subunit ribosomal RNA
Source: RNAcentral
AGAGUUUGAUCAUGGCUCAGAUUGAACGCUGGCGGCAGGCCUAACACAUGCAAGUCGAACGGUAACAGGAAGCGCUUGCUGUUUCGCUGACGAGUGGCGGACGGGUGAGUAAUGUCUGGGAAACUGCCUGAUGGAGGGGGAUAACUACUGGAAACGGUAGCUAAUACCGCAUAACGUCGCAAGACCAAAGAGGGGGACCUUCGGGCCUCUUGCCAUCGGAUGUGCCCAGAUGGGAUUAGCUUGUUGGUGGGGUAACGGCUCACCAAGGCGACGAUCCCUAGCUGGUCUGAGAGGAUGACCAGCCACACUGGAACUGAGACACGGUCCAGACUCCUACGGGAGGCAGCAGUGGGGAAUAUUGCACAAUGGGCGCAAGCCUGAUGCAGCCAUGCCGCGUGUAUGAAGAAGGCCUUCGGGUUGUAAAGUACUUUCAGCGGGGAGGAAGGGAGUAAAGUUAAUACCUUUGCUCAUUGACGUUACCCGCAGAAGAAGCACCGGCUAACUCCGUGCCAGCAGCCGCGGUAAUACGGAGGGUGCAAGCGUUAAUCGGAAUUACUGGGCGUAAAGCGCACGCAGGCGGUUUGUUAAGUCAGAUGUGAAAUCCCCGGGCUCAACCUGGGAACUGCAUCUGAUACUGGCAAGCUUGAGUCUCGUAGAGGGGGUAGAAUUCCAGGUGUAGCGGUGAAAUGCGUAGAGAUCUGGAGGAAUACCGGUGGCGAAGGCGGCCCCCUGGACGAAGACUGACGCUCAGGUGCGAAAGCGUGGGGAGCAAACAGGAUUAGAUACCCUGGUAGUCCACGCCGUAAACGAUGUCGACUUGGAGGUUGUGCCCUUGAGGCGUGGCUUCCGGAGCUAACGCGUUAAGUCGACCGCCUGGGGAGUACGGCCGCAAGGUUAAAACUCAAAUGAAUUGACGGGGGCCCGCACAAGCGGUGGAGCAUGUGGUUUAAUUCGAUGCAACGCGAAGAACCUUACCUGGUCUUGACAUCCACGGAAGUUUUCAGAGAUGAGAAUGUGCCUUCGGGAACCGUGAGGCAGGUGCUGCAUGGCUGUCGUCAGCUCGUGUUGUGAAAUGUUGGGUUAAGUCCCGCAACGAGCGCAACCCUUAUCCUUUGUUGCCAGCGGUCCGGCCGGGAACUCAAAGGAGACUGCCAGU